This 242-nucleotide ribosomal RNA is filed under the name Mangrovibacter phragmitis. RNAcentral describes it as "partial 16S ribosomal RNA". It matches the Rfam family "Bacterial small subunit ribosomal RNA", at positions 1301 to 1533 of the family's 1533-position model. Lineage: Bacteria; Pseudomonadati; Pseudomonadota; Gammaproteobacteria; Enterobacterales; Enterobacteriaceae. The record is from RNAcentral.
GAGUCUGCAACUCGACUCCAUGAAGUCGGAAUCGCUAGUAAUCGCGGAUCAGAAUGCCGCGGUGAAUACGUUCCCGGGCCUUGUACACACCGCCCGUCACACCAUGGGAGUGGGUUGCAAAAGAAGUAGGUAGCUUAACCUUCGGGAGGGCGCUUACCACUUUGUGAUUCAUGACUGGGGUGAAGUCGUAACAAGGUAACCGUAGGGGAACCUGCGGUUGGAUCACCUCCUUACCUUAGAGA